UUUUGACCUCAAAUCAGGUAGGACUACCCGCUGAACUU
This 38-nucleotide ribosomal RNA is filed under the name Collybia tuberosa. Its description in RNAcentral is "partial large subunit ribosomal RNA". Lineage: Eukaryota; Fungi; Basidiomycota; Agaricomycetes; Agaricales; Clitocybaceae. RNAcentral also lists the same sequence under 3 other names. The record is from RNAcentral.